RNAcentral lists this ribosomal RNA (515 nucleotides) under uncultured bacterium. Its description in RNAcentral is "partial 16S ribosomal RNA". It matches the Rfam family "Bacterial small subunit ribosomal RNA", at positions 28 to 523 of the family's 1533-position model. The record is from RNAcentral.
GAUGAACGCUGGCGGCGUGCCUAAUACAUGCAAGUCGAGCGAAUGGAUUAAGAGCUUGCUCUUAUGAAGUUAGCGGCGGACGGGUGAGUAACACGUGGGUAACCUGCCCAUAAGACUGGGAUAACUCCGGGAAACCGGGGCUAAUACCGGAUAACAUUUUGAACCGCAUGGUUAGACAUUGAAAGGCGGCUACGGCUGUCACUUAUGGAAGGACCCGCGUCGCAUUAGCUAGUUGGUGAGGUAACGGCUCACCAAGGCAACGAUGCGUAGCCGACCUGAGAGGGUGAUCGGCCACACUGGGACUGAGACACGGCCCAGACUCCUACGGGAGGCAGCAGUAGGGAAUCUUCCGCAAUGGACGAAAGUCUGACGGAGCAACGCCGCGUGAGUGAUGAAGGCUUUCGGGUCGUAAAACUCUGUUGUUAGGGAAGAACAAGUGCUAGUUGAAUAAGCUGGCACCUUGACGGUACCUAACCAGAAAGCCACGGCUAACUACGUGCCAGCCGCCGCAGUAA